Molecule: ribosomal RNA, 252 nt
Filed under: uncultured bacterium
Lineage: Bacteria
Description: partial 16S ribosomal RNA
Rfam family: Bacterial small subunit ribosomal RNA
Source: RNAcentral
ACGGAGGGUGCAAGCGUUAAUCGGAAUUACUGGGCGUAAAGCGCGCGUAGGCGGCGUGUUAAGUCAGAUGUGAAAGCCCUGGGCUUAACCUGGGAACUGCAUUUGAUACUGGCAUGCUAGAGUUUGGUAGAGGUAAGUGGAAUUCCGGGUGUAGCGGUGAAAUGCGUAGAUAUCCGGAGGAACACCAGUGGCGAAGGCGGCUUACUGGACCAAAACUGACGCUGAGGUGCGAAAGCGUGGGGAGCAAACAGG